Molecule: non-coding RNA, 72 nt
Organism: Phrynosoma platyrhinos (Desert horned lizard)
Lineage: Eukaryota; Metazoa; Chordata; Lepidosauria; Squamata; Phrynosomatidae
Source: the annotation of a GenBank genome assembly
GCCAGUGUGGUGUAGUGGUCUGAGCAUUGGACUACAGCUCUGAAGACCAGGGUUCAAAUGCCCACUUGGCCA